Molecule: small RNA, 78 nt
Filed under: uncultured Bacteroides sp.
Lineage: Bacteria; Pseudomonadati; Bacteroidota; Bacteroidia; Bacteroidales; Bacteroidaceae
Description: Bacteroides-1 RNA
Rfam family: Bacteroides-1 RNA
Source: RNAcentral
GCAAAUCGACCUGAACAGUUUAUGUAUAUGUGAAUAUCUAUAAAUUGAAAAAUAUGCCUCCCCGGUAUAUGACAGGUA